Molecule: long non-coding RNA, 5016 nt
Organism: Mya arenaria
Lineage: Eukaryota; Metazoa; Mollusca; Bivalvia; Myida; Myidae
Exons: 3
Source: RefSeq, a predicted model, not a curated record
GCGACGAUCGACUGGAGUAAGGAGGAACACCAGAACUACCUUUGUGCACAAAAUGGACUAAGUUUUGCUUCUAAACAGUUGAAAGUUUACACGAUGCAGGGUUUGAGUCAUAUUAAAACAGAUAUAAGUUUAAAGUUGAAAGGAAUACCGGAGUGUAAGGCAAAAUGCAGCGAUAAAGCCGUUCAUGGGACAAAAUAUACAAGAUGGUGUUGUAGCUGUUCGAUGUGGAAGAACUGUUUGCAGCAACAUAUGAUUGAAUUAAACCUGAAAUAUGCGAAUUCUUGGGAGCAGAAUCCGACAAUCGAAGAUCUUGCUAAUUUGUCCAUUCCAAGGACUUGGUCGAAUUCUAGCAAACCAGAUAUCAGCGACAUAUCAUUCUGUACAUACCUUUGGUCGAACUAUGCCGUUUUUAAGAUUGACUUUCGCGUAAGAAAGGAGUUGCAACGAGUAAGAAAUCAAUAUAUUGGACACAAUUCGAUUUGUAAACUUUCCAGUAAACAAAUGAUAGAUUGUUUUUCUCAAAUUGCUCGCGUGUUUCGCGACAGUGAUGUCUCCUUACACAUAGAUGAAAAUAAUUCUUUAAUGGAACUUGAAUAUAUCAAAAUAAACAGGCAUAUUAAUAGUGCCAGGCCCUGUGAACAUAGCACAAAGAUAAACCGAAUUUCGAUCAUUUUAAUUUUCGUGGUAGUUCUGGAGGUAGUUCUCCUUAUUUUCCAACUCCAGUCGAGUAACACCGUAAGAAUGUGUUAGAGGUCGGUAGCUGAGAAAUAGACAACUAAGACAUUUGAGCAGCCUUUACUAGUAUGAUGGAGACCAAUGUUGAAUUAUGCAUAUUCGUGGUAUUGAAAUGUAGAUCUAACGUUGAGGUUUAUUCUUAAGUUAGAAACAGUUUUAAUAAGCAUUGUUACGCUGAUUGUUAGGCAGCGUGUUAAUAAGCAUUCUUACGCUUAUUCUUAUGUUAGAAACAGUGUUAAUAAGCAUUGUUUCGCUGAUUGUUCGACAACGUGUUAAUAAGCAUUCUUACGCUGAUUCUGAUUGUUAGAAACAGGGUUAAUAAGCAUUGUUACGCUGAUUGUUAGACAACUUCUUAAUAAGCAUUCUUACGCUUAUUCUUAUGUUAGAAACAGUGUUAAUAAGCAUUGUUACGCUGUUUGUUAGACAACUUGUUAAUAAGCAUUCUUACGCUUAUUCUUAUGUUAGAAACAGUGUUAAUAAGCAUUGUUACGCUGAUUGUUAGACAACUUGUUAAUAAGCAUUCUUACGCUUAUUCUUAUGUUAGAAACAGUGUUAAUAAGCAUUGUUACGCUGAUUGUUAGGCAGCGUGUUAAUAAGCAUUCUUACGCUUAUUCUUAUGUUAGAAACAGUUUUAACAAGCAUUGUUACGCUGAUUGUUAGGCAGCGUGUUAAUAAGCAUUCUUACGCUUAUUCUUAUGUUAGAAACAGUGUUAAUAAGCAUUGUUUCGCUGAUUGUUCGACAACGUGUUAAUAAGCAUUCUUACGCUGAUUCUGAUUGUUAGAAACAGUGUUAAUAAGCAUUGUUACGCGGAUUGUUAGACAACUUGUUAAUAAGCAUUCUUACGCUUAUUCUUAUGUUAGAAACAGUGUUAAUAAGCAUUGUUACGCUGAUUGUUAGACAACUUGUUAAUAAGCAUUCUUACGCUUAUUCUUAUGUUAGAAACAGUGUUAAUAAGCAUUGUUAUGCUGAUUGUUAGACAACUUGUUAAUAAGCAUUCUUACGCUUAUUCUUAUGUUAAAAACAGUGUUAAUACGCAUUGUUACGCUGAUUGUUAGUGUUAAUAAUCAUUGUUACGCUGAUUGAUUGACAGAGUGUUAAUAAGCAUUGUUACGCUGAUUGUUUGACAGAGUGUUAAUACGCAUUGUUACGCUGAUUGUUUGACAGAGUGUUAAUAAGCAUUGUUACGCUGAUUGUUUGACAGAGUGUUAAUAAGCAUUGUUGCGCUGAUUGUUUGACAGAGUGUUAAUACGCAUUGUUACGCUGAUUGUUUGACAGAGUGUUAAUAAGCAUUGUUACGCUGAUUGUUUGACAGAGUGUUAAUAAGCAUUGUUACGCUGAUUGUUUGACAGAGUGUUAAUACGCAUUGUUACGCUGAUUGUUUGACAGAGUGUUAAUAAGCAUUGUUACGCUGAUUGUUUGACAGAGUGUUAAUAAGCAUUGUUACGCUGAUUGUUUGACAGAGUGUUAAUAAGCAUUGUUACGCUGAUUGUUUGACAGAGUAUUAAUACGCAUUGUUACGCUGAUUGUUUGACAGAGUGUUAAUAAGCAUUGUUACGCUGAUUGUUUGACAAAUUGUUAAAAGGCAUUGUUACGCUGAUUGUUCGACAGAGUGUUAAUAAGCAUUGUUACGCUGAUUGUUUGACAGAGUGUUAAUACGCAUUGUUACGCUGAUUGUUUGACAGAGUGUUAAUAGACAUUGUUACGCUGAUCGUUUGAGAGAGUGUUAAUAAGCACUGUUACGCUGAUUGUUUGACAGAGUGUUAAUAGGCAUUGUUACGCUGAUCGUUUGACAGAGUGUUAAUAAGCAUUGUUACACUGAUUGUUUGACAGAGUGGUAAUAGGCACUGUUACACUGAUUGUUUGACAGAGUGGUAAUAGGCAUUGUUACGCUGAUCGUUUGACAGAGUGUUAAUAAGCAUUGUUACGCUGAUUGUUUGACAGAGUGGUAAUAAGCAUUGUUACGCUAAUUGUUUGACCGAGUGUUAAUACGCAUUGUUACACUGAUUGUUUGACAGAGUGGUAAUAGGCACUGUUACACUGAUUGUUUGACAGAGUGGUAAUAGGCAUUGUUACGCUGAUCGUUUGACAGAGUGUUAAUAAGCAUUGUUACGCUGAUUGUUCGACAGAGUGUUAAUAAGCAUUGUUACGCUGAUUGUUUGACAGAGUGAUAAUACGCAUUGUUACGCUGAUUGUUUGACAGAGUGUUAAUAAGCAUUGUUACACUGAUUGUUUGACAGAGUGUUAAUAAGCAUUGUUACGCUGAUCGUUUGACAGAGUGUUAAUAAGCAUUGUUACGCUGAUUGUUCGACAGAGUGUUAAUAAGCAUUGUUACGCUGAUUGUUUGACAGAGUGUUAAUACGCAUUGUUACGCUGAUUGUUUGACAGAGUGUUAAUAAGCAUUGUUACGCUGAUUGUUUGACAGAGUGUUAAUAAGCAUUGUUACGCUGAUUGUUUGACAGAGUGUUAAUACGCAUUGUUACGCUGAUUGUUUGACAGAGUGUUAAUAGGCACUGUUACGCUGAUUGUUUGACAGAGUGUUAAUAGGCACUGUUACGCUGAUUGUUUGACAGAGUGUUAAUAGGCAUUGUUACGCUGAUCGUUUGACAGAGUGUUAAUAAGCAUUGUUACACUGAUUGUUUGACAGAGUGGUAAUAGGCACUGUUACACUGAUUGUUUGACAGAGUGGUAAUAGGCAUUGUUACGCUGAUCGUUUGACAGAGUGUUAAUAAGCAUUGUUACGCUGAUUGUUUGACAGAGUGUUAAUAAGCACUGUUACACUGAUUGUUUGACAGAGUGGUAAUAGGCAUUGUUACGCUGAUUGUUUGACAGCGUGUUUAUAAGCAUUGUUACACUGAUUGUUUGACAGAGUGUUAAUAAGCACUGUUACACUGAUUGUUUGACCGAGUGUUAAUAAGCAUUGUUACGCUUAUUGUUUGACAGAGUGUUAAUGAGCACUGUUACACUGACUGGCAGAGUGUUAAUAAGCAUUGUUACGCUGAUUGUUAGACAGCGUGUUAAUAAGCAUUGUUACACUGAUUGUUUGACAGAGUGUUAAUAAGCAUUGUUACGCUGAUUGUUCGACAGAUUGUUACGCUGAUUGUUAGUGUUAAUGAGCAUUGUUACGCUGAUUGUUAGUGUUAAUAAGCAUUGUUACGCUGAUUGUUCGACAGAUUGUUACGCUGAUUGUUAGUGUUAAUAAGCAUUGUUACGCUGAUUGUUCGACAGAUUGUUACGCUGAUUGUUCUACAGAGUGUUAAUAAGCAUUGUUACGCUGAUUGUUCUACAGAGUGUUAAUAGGCAUUGUUACGCUGAUUGUUCGACAGAGUGUUAAUAAGCAUUGUUACGCGGAUUGUUUGACAGAGUGUUAAUAAGCAUUGUUACGCGGAUUGUUUGACAGCGUGUUAAUAAGCAUUGUUACGCUGAUUGUUCGACAGAGUGUUAAUAAGCAUUGUUACGCUGAUUGUUAGACAGAGUGAUAAUAAGCAUUGUUACGCUGAUUUUUCGAUAGAGUGUUAAUAAGCAUUGUUACGCUGAUUGUUAGACAGAGUGAUAAUAAGCAUUGUUACGCUGAUUGUUCGACAGAGUGGUAAUAAGCAUUGUUACGCUAAUUGUUUGACCGAGUGUUAAUACGCAUUGUUACGCUGAUUGUUAGACAGAGUGAUAAUAAGCACUGUUACACUGAUUGUUUGACAGAGUGAUAAUAAGCAUUGUUACGCUGAUUGUUUGACCGAGUGUUAAUACGCAUUGUUACGCUGAUUGUUAGACAGAGUGAUAAUAAGCAUUGUUACGCUGAUUGUUUGACCGAGUGAUUAUAAGCAUUGUUACGCUGAUUGUUAGACAGAGUGUUAAUGAGCAUUGUUACGCUGAUUGUUAGACAGCCUGUCAAUAAACAUUGUUACGCUGAAGUUGAAAAGUAUAGAAAAAUGAAAAAAAAAAUGAAAAAUAUAUAAAAGACAAAAAAAGAGCAAAACAAUCUGAAAAAAAGUAUAAAUAACAUACAUAUACAUUUUUUCUGAUCAAUGGCAUGUAUUAACUUAUAAAAAUAUCAACUCAAUUAUAGAACCUCUUAUUUGUUUAAACAAAACCCAUAAGUCUUGCAUUCUCUCAAACUACUUUAUAAACGCGGUUUCCUCAUAUCACAAAUUUGUGACCUACUUAAAAAAACUAUUGAAAUCACAGUUUGAAAGAAAUUGAUCUGAAAGGAUGCCCUGGAAACUUAAUACAGUUCUAAUACAUUUUGUAAUGCAAGUCUUUUAACUUGAAUAAAAUUUGAUAUCUUA